GCUGCUCCGCUUCACUCUGCGGGGGCGGGACCGGGCUGUACCCUCAGCUGGGGAGUCCGGCGCCCCACAGGCUGUUCUGAGCGGCAGCCUACAGGCCCUGUUCAUUCUACCUAAAGGUCAAGUACAGUUCUUUUUGCCUUGCUGGAGACUGGUGUUUGAAGUGGGAGGACUGGUGUCAACAUCAAGGGGACCAGAAUCGUGCAUCAUCAUCAGCCCCACCACAUUCUGACCUCAGUGACAUCUCCACAACCCAGACAAUAAAUCACAAAUUCCGAUCAUCUGGGAAAAGUGGAUAACCAAGACCCCAGGAUUGCCAUUAAUCUUUAGGAAAUGUCCUGCACUCAAAACACAGCUAUCCAGACUUACUCUUUUCUUCAAUCAUCAUUUUAUACUUUCUGUAGAUGGAUCUCUAUAUUUUGAAAUUAAGUUCCCCAUCCCUUACUGACUUGGUCUUUUCUCAUUUGAUGUUUCUUUUUUUCUGAACCCGAAUGUAUAUAUCUGACUGUUGUUUAAAGGUGAACUAAAUGCUCUUUAAAUAAAAAUAACCCCCCAAUUAUUAACCCAACAUAUGUGCAAACA
Gopherus evgoodei (Goodes thornscrub tortoise) is the source of this 579-nucleotide long non-coding RNA. RefSeq lists it as uncharacterized. NCBI's taxonomy places the organism in Eukaryota, Metazoa, Chordata, Testudines, Testudinidae. The transcript is spliced from 3 exons. The record is from RefSeq and is a predicted model, not a curated record.